ACAGCGGCACAAGAUGUAUGCUCGUGCUCGCUGUCGCCGCAGGGGAAUCCGGUGCGAAUCCGGAGCUGUCCCGCAACGGUGAGAGCGCCGUACGCGGCCCUUCCCCACGGUCCGUUCGUGCGCGCGCUUAAGUCCGAUGACCUGCCGACGGUACGUCCGCACC
Molecule: non-coding RNA, 163 nt
Filed under: Streptomyces sp.
Lineage: Bacteria; Bacillati; Actinomycetota; Actinomycetes; Kitasatosporales; Streptomycetaceae
Source: RNAcentral